RNAcentral lists this non-coding RNA (113 nucleotides) under Segatella paludivivens DSM 17968 = JCM 13650. RNAcentral describes it as "Prevotella paludivivens DSM 17968 = JCM 13650 Prevotella-2 RNA". It matches the Rfam family "Prevotella-2 RNA". Lineage: Bacteria; Pseudomonadati; Bacteroidota; Bacteroidia; Bacteroidales; Prevotellaceae. The record is from Rfam by way of RNAcentral.
UGGAUUUAUUUCCAUUUAGAUAUAUGCUCAUCAUUUAUUGAUGAGAUAAUUUUAAUUAGUCGUGUGUGCUUAUGCUCGUGAGGGUGUCAGUAUACAAAAUUUUAAAGUUGAGU